This 443-nucleotide ribosomal RNA is filed under the name uncultured bacterium. RNAcentral's name for it is "partial 16S ribosomal RNA". It matches the Rfam family "Bacterial small subunit ribosomal RNA", at positions 338 to 795 of the family's 1533-position model. The record is from RNAcentral.
CCUACGGGAGGCAGCAGUGGGGAAUAUUGGGCAAUGGGCGCAAGCCUGACCCAGCAACGCCGCGUGAAGGAAGAAGGCUUUCGGGUUGUAAACUUCUUUUGUCAGGGACGAAGCAAGUGACGGUACCUGACGAAUAAGCCACGGCUAACUACGUGCCAGCAGCCGCGGUAAUACGUAGGUGGCAAGCGUUAUCCGGAUUUACUGGGUGUAAAGGGCGUGUAGGCGGGACUGCAAGUCAGAUGUGAAAACCACGGGCUCAACCUGUGGCCUGCAUUUGAAACUGUAGUUCUUGAGUACUGGAGAGGCAGACGGAAUUCCUAGUGUAGCAGUGAAAUGCGUAGAUAUCGAGAGGAACACUCGUGGCGAAGGCGGGUUCCUGGACAUUAACUGACGCUGAGGCACGAAGGCCAGGGGAGCGAAAGGGAUUAGAUACCCGGGUAGUC